Molecule: ribosomal RNA, 553 nt
Filed under: uncultured Moniliophthora
Lineage: Eukaryota; Fungi; Basidiomycota; Agaricomycetes; Agaricales; Marasmiaceae
Description: partial 18S ribosomal RNA
Rfam family: Eukaryotic small subunit ribosomal RNA
Source: RNAcentral
CCAACCUGUGUGUGCUGAGCGCUACCUGCCUCAGGGGGGGCGGGAAUUCAAUUUUGGAGGGGGGUCUGGGGCCGGCACCCGCGGUAAUUCCUGCUCCAAUAGCGUAUAUUAAAGUUGUUGCAGUUAAAAAGCUCGUAGUUGAACUUCAAGCCUGGUUGGGCGGUCCGCGGAACGGCGUGUACUGUCCGACUGGGUCUUACCUCUUGGUGAACCGGCGUGCCCUUUUUUGGGUGCGUCGGGGAACCAAGACUUUUACCUUGAGAAAAUUUUAGUGUUCAAAGCAGGCCUAUGCCUGUGUACAUUAUUGAGGAAGAAAAAAUGAAGACGUGCGGUUCUAUUUUGUUGGUUUCUAGAGUGGUCUUAAUGAUUAAAAGAAUGGAUUGGGGGCGUAGUUGUGGGUCUUUUGAUGUGAGUGUCCAGGAUUGGAUUCAUAGCGAUUAUAACAAAAUCAUUUCUCUGGGAUGUUUUUAUUUAUGAGAAAAUAAUGUAAGGGGAACAAAACAAUUGGAAACCGUCGAGGUUCUGAUAAUUAUCAUUUUGCCACUUUCUUAGA